GUGGGGAAUCUUGCGCAAUGGGCGAAAGCCUGACGCAGCCAUGCCGCGUGAAUGAUGAAGGUCUUAGGAUUGUAAAAUUCUUUCACCGGGGACGAUAAUGACGGUACCCGGAGAAGAAGCCCCGGCUAACUUCGUGCCAGCAGCCGCGGUAAUACGAAGGGGGCUAGCGUUGCUCGGAAUUACUGGGCGUAAAGGGCGCGUAGGCGGACAGUUAAGUUGGGGGUGAAAGCCCGGGGCUCAACCUCGGAACUGCCUUCAAUACUGGCUGUCUUGAGUAUGAGAGAGGUGUGUGGAACUCCGAGUGUAGAGGUGAAAUUCGUAGAUAUUCGGAAGAACACCAGUGGCGAAGGCGACACACUGGCUCAUUACUGACGCUGAGGCGCGAAAGCGUGGGGAGCAAACAGGAUUAGAAACCCGUGUAGUCC
Molecule: ribosomal RNA, 425 nt
Filed under: uncultured bacterium
Lineage: Bacteria
Description: bacterial SSU rRNA
Rfam family: Bacterial small subunit ribosomal RNA
Source: RNAcentral